GGGGAGUCAUGGGGUAUUUGAGAGCAGAGGGGGAGUAUUCUUCUGUAAUUCGUAAGUCAUAUCAUAUGAUGUGCGGAAGGGGAAUUUUACUCUGUAACUCACAAGUCUCUCCUUUACUCAAGUCGACUCAAAACCUCCUCGUGGUGGUCCCCGGUAAUGCUAAACUUGUUUAGCAGCUAAUUUGAGCGGC
Molecule: non-coding RNA, 190 nt
Filed under: Drosophila melanogaster (fruit fly)
Lineage: Eukaryota; Metazoa; Arthropoda; Insecta; Diptera; Drosophilidae
Source: RNAcentral